This 488-nucleotide ribosomal RNA is filed under the name uncultured bacterium. RNAcentral's name for it is "partial 16S ribosomal RNA". It matches the Rfam family "Bacterial small subunit ribosomal RNA", at positions 28 to 507 of the family's 1533-position model. The record is from RNAcentral.
GACGAACGCUGGCGGCGUGCUUAACACAUGCAAGUCGAACGGAAAGGCCCUGCUUUUGUGGGGUGCUCGAGUGGCGAACGGGUGAGUAACACGUGAGUAACCUGCCCUUGACUUUGGGAUAACUUCAGGAAACUGGGGUUAAUACCGGAUAGGAGCUCCUGCUGCAUGGUGGGGGUUGGAAAGUUUCGGCGGUUGGGGAUGGACUCGCGGCUUAUCAGCUUGUUGGUGGGGUAGUGGCUUACCAAGGCUUUGACGGGUAGCCGACCUGAGAGGGUGACCGGCCACAUUGGGACUGAGAUACGGCCCAGACUCCUACGGGAGGCAGCAGUGGGGAAUUUUGGACAAUGGGGGCAACCCUGAUCCAGCCAUGCCGCGUGCGGGAAGAAGGCCUUCGGGUUGUAAACCGCUUUUGUUCGGGAAGAAAUCCUCUGGGCUAAUACCCCGGGGGGAUGACGGUACCGGAAGAAUAAGCACCGGCUAACUACGUG